This is a transfer RNA of 74 nucleotides. It matches the Rfam family "tRNA". From Rfam's summary of the family: Transfer RNA (tRNA) molecules are approximately 80 nucleotides in length.
GCCUCUGUGGUGUAGUUGGUUAUCACGUGAGUCUCAUAAUCUCAAGGCCGCCAGUUCGAUCCUGGCCGGGGGCA